This 253-nucleotide ribosomal RNA is filed under the name uncultured bacterium. RNAcentral describes it as "partial 16S ribosomal RNA". It matches the Rfam family "Bacterial small subunit ribosomal RNA", at positions 524 to 776 of the family's 1533-position model. The record is from RNAcentral.
UACGAAGGGGGCUAGCGUUGUUCGGAUUUACUGGGCGUAGAGCGCACGUAGGCGGAUUGUUAAGUCAGGGGUGAAAUCCUGGAGCUCAACUCCAGAACUGCCUUUGAUACUGGCAAUCUUGAGUCCGGAAGAGGUGAGUGGAACUCCUAGUGUAGAGGUGGAAUUCGUAGAUAUUAGGAAGAACACCAGUGGCGAAGGCGGCUCACUGGUCCGGUACUGACGCUGAGGUGCGAAAGCGUGGGGAGCAAACAGG